Molecule: ribosomal RNA, 484 nt
Filed under: uncultured bacterium
Lineage: Bacteria
Description: partial 16S ribosomal RNA
Rfam family: Bacterial small subunit ribosomal RNA
Source: RNAcentral
AUUGAACGCUGGCGGCAGGCCUAACACAUGCAAGUCGAGCGGAUGAAGGGAGCUUGCUCCUGGAUUCAGCGGCGGACGGGUGAGUAAUGCCUAGGAAUCUGCCUGGUAGUGGGGGAUAACGUCCGGAAACGGGCGCUAAUACCGCAUACGUCCUGAGGGAGAAAGUGGGUGAUCUUCGGACCUCACGCUAUCAGAUGAGCCUAGGUCGGAUUAGUUAGUUGGUGGGGUAAAGGCCUACCAAGGCGACGAUCCGUAACUGGUCUGAGAGGAUGAUCAGUCACACUGGAACUGAGACACGGUCCAGACUCCUACGGGAGGCAGCAGUGGGGAAUAUUGGACAAUGGGCGAAAGCCUGAUCCAGCCAUGCCGCGUGUGUGAAGAAGGUCUUCGGAUUGUAAAGCACUUUAAGUUGGGAGGAAGGGCAGUAAGUUAAUACCUUGCUGUUUUGACGUUACCAACAGAAUAAGCACCGGCUAACUUCGUG